Molecule: ribosomal RNA, 403 nt
Filed under: Actinomycetes bacterium
Lineage: Bacteria; Bacillati; Actinomycetota; Actinomycetes
Description: Actinobacteria bacterium partial 16S ribosomal RNA
Rfam family: Bacterial small subunit ribosomal RNA
Source: RNAcentral
UGGGGAAUAUUGGACAAUGGGCGCAAGCCUGAUCCAGCCAUGCCGCGUGAGUGAUGAAGGCCCUAGGGUUGUAAAGCUCUUUCACCGGUGAAGAUAAUGACGGUAACCGGAGAAGAAGCCCCGGCUAACUUCGUGCCAGCAGCCGCGGUAAUACGAAGGGGGCUAGCGUUGUUCGGAUUUACUGGGCGUAAAGCGCACGUAGGCGGACUAUUAAGUCAGGGGUGAAAUCCCGGGGCUCAACCCCGGAACUGCCUUUGAUACUGGUAGUCUUGAGUUCGAGAGAGGUGAGUGGAAUUCCGAGUGUAGAGGUGAAAUUCGUAGAUAUUCGGAGGAACACCAGUGCGAAGGCGGCUCACUGGCUCGAUACUGACGCUGAGGUGCGAAAGCGUGGGGAGCAAACAGG